RNAcentral lists this ribosomal RNA (253 nucleotides) under uncultured bacterium. RNAcentral's name for it is "partial 16S ribosomal RNA". It matches the Rfam family "Bacterial small subunit ribosomal RNA", at positions 524 to 776 of the family's 1533-position model. The record is from RNAcentral.
UACGGGGGGGGCAAGCGUUGUUCGGAAUUACUGGGCGUAAAGGGCUCGUAGGUGGCCAACUCAGUCGGAUGUGAAAUCCCCAGGCUCAACUUGGGAACUGCAUCCGAUACUGGAUGGCUUGAAUCCGGGAGAGGGAUGCAGAAUUCCAGGUGUAGCGGUGAAAUGCGUAGAUAUCGGGAGGAACACCAGUGGCGAAGGCGACUUCCUGGCCUGUUCUUGACGCUGAGGCGCGAAAGCUAGGGUAGCAAACGGG